Molecule: long non-coding RNA, 1076 nt
Organism: Passer domesticus (house sparrow)
Lineage: Eukaryota; Metazoa; Chordata; Aves; Passeriformes; Passeridae
Exons: 4
Source: RefSeq, a predicted model, not a curated record
AGACACGACUAGUGUCACUGACUGUUCAUUGUGACAUCUGUUACGGGAGCUUAAUUGUUCAGAAGUUUCAUUCAGUACUUUCCAAAAGCAAGGAUUUGUAAGGUAAUUCCAAGGAGCAUCGCAGAAACACAAAUCACUUCUAAAUGCCUGCUCCAUGCUACAGGAACUGGAAAACACCCCUCACUCAGCUGAUCAGUCACACCUCAAAAAAUGCUGAGGAAGCUUUCAAAGCUUACAUUUUUAGGCAAGAACAAUAAACAAGCCCUUCUUCAAUUCAUCAAUUACUGCAAGUUAGAUUCUUACCACAGUUUGAGUUCAGAGAUGGCUGAUGGUGAACAGAAAGAAGGCAGUCUCAGUAAACAGCAGGCAAAGGUGUCAGGAAGGAGGAAGCAGUAGAAGGACUUGGAAAAAGGCCAAGAAGCAUUUCCUCCUCUUCAUUUUCCACCUAAAUGCUUCAGCUGCUGGAAUGAGAGGUCAAACUAGAAGCAUUUGUACCCAGCUGUGGGCAGCUCUCUCCUGCCCACAUGCUGUUCUUCCCUGUCAUCCCAGGAGAUGAACAUUGUGUGGCAUCCUUGGCCAUUAGCAAAACCUUGCCAAGGAGAUUUCCCAUGGAGAAUCGACUGAUUCAGCUGUCACUUUCUCACAGCAUCUGCAGCAAGAGCUCUGGUUGAAAAAGAGAUAUUUUUAGCCUGGAGGUACUUGGCCAACUGGCAUGGGGCUGUCCCCGUUGCCUGAGGAUAUAAAAAGCAAAGCAGAGGUCUAGAGUUCCCAGUACCAUCUGUAUUUUGGAAACUGCAGCUGAUGUCCUCUGCAAGGAAAGGGUAUUCUCUUCUUUGUGAGCCAAGGUCAUGUCAGUCAAAACUGCCCCUUUUGAAAAUGUAUGCACUGUGCUCAGUGAAUGUGUUCUGAGCCUUUCUAAGGGGUAAAAUAUGUAUCAAAUAACAUCCCACAGUACCCCAGGGAAAUGGAAGAGAGUGGAGCUGCCCUGGUAUACAUUCUGUUAGGUGUGCCUGGCAUGCACAGGCAUAGUAUAGAGCCAGUCCUUGGAUUCUUCCUUGCUUUCUGCUGCUUCUUAU